GCCAUUAUUCUUCAUUGGAGGGGAGAUUAGAGCCGUUUGAAGGGAGUUGUGAAAUCUUUAUCGAUUUCAAGGAUUCUUAGGACUUUAUCUUUAUUUCUUGUUGUCAUUCUUUUUUUUUUUUAAAUUUUGCUUGUACCGUUUUCUUUAUCUAACUUAUUUCAAUUCUUUUAUUGUGUUUCCAGCCAACUUCAACCUUAAAGAAAUCGAUCAGCACUCUUCUUGGCAGCAAGAAAACGUUCUUCAAUCAUCCUUUUCCAUUGAUCUUGCCGUCCAAACAACCUAUCCUCAUUCUAUUUCAAUUUUUGGGUUGUUGUGAUGUGUUGCGUUUUAAUUUUCUGUUUC
RNAcentral lists this long non-coding RNA (342 nucleotides) under Gossypium raimondii (Peruvian cotton). RNAcentral's name for it is "long non-coding RNA (GRAI_LNC010474)". Lineage: Eukaryota; Viridiplantae; Streptophyta; Magnoliopsida; Malvales; Malvaceae. The record is from RNAcentral.